CCCCUAGCCGUUCUGGGCUGCACGCGCGCUACAAUAAUACGCACAGCGAGUAUCACCGAGCUCGAAAGGGCAAGGUAAACAAUAGAAAAGGUACUGUAAUGGUUAUAGAUCCUUGUAAUUAUUGAUCUUCAACGAGGAAUUCCUAGUAAGUAUGUGUCAUCAUCACGCACUGAUUACGUCCCUGCCCUUUGUACACACCGCCCGUCGCUCCUACCGAUUGGGUGAGCCGAUGAAACUCUCGGAUGUAGGCUAUUCAUAGCCCGCAGAAGAGAUUUGAAUCGUAGCGCUUAGAGGAAGGAGAAGUCGUAACA
Molecule: ribosomal RNA, 311 nt
Filed under: uncultured eukaryote
Lineage: Eukaryota
Description: partial 18S ribosomal RNA
Rfam family: Eukaryotic small subunit ribosomal RNA
Source: RNAcentral